CAGCCGCCGCGGUAAGACAGAGGAUGCAAGCGUUAUCCGGAAUGAUUGGGCGUAAAGCGUCUGUAGGUGGUUUUUUAAGUCUGAUGUGAAAGCCCACGGCUCAACCGUGGAGGGUCAUUGGAAACUGGAAAACUUGAGUGCAGAAGAGGAAAGUGGAAUUCCAUGUGUAGCGGUGAAAUGCGCAGAGAUAUGGAGGAACACCAGUGGCGAAGGCGACUUUCUGGUCUGUAACUGACGCUAAUGCGUGAAAGCGUGGGGAGCAAACAGGAUUAGAUACCCCCGUAGUCCCUGUCUCUUAUAC
Molecule: ribosomal RNA, 301 nt
Filed under: uncultured bacterium
Lineage: Bacteria
Description: partial 16S ribosomal RNA
Rfam family: Bacterial small subunit ribosomal RNA
Source: RNAcentral